UACGUAGGGUGCGAGCGUUAAUCGGAAUUACUGGGCGUAAAGCGUGCGCAGGCGGCCAUGCAAGACAGAUGUGAAAUCCCCGGGCUCAACCUGGGAACUGCAUUUGUGACUGCAUGGCUAGAGUACGGCAGAGGGGGAUGGAAUUCCGCGUGUAGCAGUGAAAUGCGUAGAUAUGCGGAGGAACACCGAUGGCGAAGGCAAUCCCCUGGGCCUGUACUGACGCUCAUGCACGAAAGCGUGGGGAGCAAACAGG
RNAcentral lists this ribosomal RNA (253 nucleotides) under uncultured bacterium. RNAcentral's name for it is "partial 16S ribosomal RNA". It matches the Rfam family "Bacterial small subunit ribosomal RNA", at positions 524 to 776 of the family's 1533-position model. The record is from RNAcentral.